Molecule: ribosomal RNA, 444 nt
Filed under: uncultured soil bacterium
Lineage: Bacteria
Description: bacterial SSU rRNA
Rfam family: Bacterial small subunit ribosomal RNA
Source: RNAcentral
AGAACGAACGCUGGCGGCAGGCCUAAUACAUGCAAGUCGAACGCUGUAGCAAUACAGAGUGGCAGACGGGUGAGUAACGCGUGGGAAUAUUCCUUGCAGUACGGAAUAACUCCGGGAAACCGGUGCUAAUACCGUAUACGCCCUUCGGGGGAAAGAUUUAUCGCUGCAAGAUUAGCCCGCGUCGGAUUAGCUAGUUGGUGAGGUAAUGGCUCACCAAGGCUACGAUCCGUAGCUGGUCUGAGAGGAUGAUCAGCCACACUGGGACUGAGACACGGCCCAGACUCCUACGGGAGCAGCAGUAGGGAAUAUGGACAAUGGGCGCAAGCCUGAUCCAGCCAUGCCGCGUGAGUGAAGAAGGCCUUAGGGUUGUAAAGCUCUUUUGGAGGGAAGAUAAUGACGGUACCCGCAGAAAUAAGCUCCGGCUAACUUCGUGCCAGCAGCCGC